Molecule: long non-coding RNA, 343 nt
Organism: Mercenaria mercenaria
Lineage: Eukaryota; Metazoa; Mollusca; Bivalvia; Venerida; Veneridae
Exons: 2
Source: RefSeq, a predicted model, not a curated record
GGAGGCAGUAAACAGUUUUGAGCCGUUAGUGUCGAAUUGGCCGGGGUGAAAUUUACAAAUAAGAGGCAAUUUACGGAAUGAAGUGCAUAUUUGAACUUCUAAAUUAUAAUAAUUGCUAGAAUUGAAGUUUCAGCGGCUAGAAUUGAGUUUCACUUAUUUAAAAAAAAUCAGUUGAGUAGCCUUGAUCUUGAUAGUAUGACGUAAUGACUUGCAGGAGCGUAUACAUGCUUCCUUUGAGCUAGCUUAAAGUGGGGUUGUCAUUUUAGCAGGGACCUCAGGAAAACUGGAACAGUGAAGAAACGGUGUGUGGUUACAGACUUUUGUGUGAGGUUUUGAAAGUUAG